RNAcentral lists this ribosomal RNA (440 nucleotides) under uncultured bacterium. RNAcentral describes it as "partial 16S ribosomal RNA". It matches the Rfam family "Bacterial small subunit ribosomal RNA", at positions 338 to 795 of the family's 1533-position model. The record is from RNAcentral.
CCUACGGGUGGCAGCAGUGGGGAAUAUUGCACAAUGGGGGAAACCCUGAUGCAGCGACGCCGCGUGUGGGAAGACGGUCCUCUGGAUUGUAAACCACUGUCCCCAGGGACGAAGAUGACGGUACCUGGGGAGGAAGCUCCGGCAAACUACGUGCCGGCAGCCGCGUUACGACGUAGGGAGUAAGCGUUGUCCGAAAUUACUGGGUGUAAAGGGAGCGUAGGCGGGAUGGCAAGUUGGGUGUUAAAUCUACCGGCUCAACUGGUAGUCGCACUCAAAACUGCUAUUCUUGAGUGAAGUAGAGGCAGGCGGAAUUCCUAGUGUAGCGGUGAAAUGCGUAGAUAUUAGGAGGAACACCAGUGGCGAAGGCGGCCUGCUGGGCUUUUACUGACGCUGAGGCUCGAAAGUGUGGGGAGCAAACAGGAUGAGAUACCCGGGUAGUC